GUGGCCGCGCGCCCCGCGAGCACGAGGGCUGCCGCCCGUGCAGGUGCCGCGGGCGAGCGGCUGCGGCGUCGCCACCUGUCCUCCCAACAAAUAGCCACAUACCUGGAAAACCAGUGAGUGACUGCUGGAGACGGGGCGGAGCGAGAACCUUCUCCGAGGUUGGAGUCCGAGCCGGCCGGCGUCCGUGCACGCGCUGAAACUCCUGGUUCACAACCUGUCCUGGGCAGUUCCCACACGUCAGUCAUGAACGAAGUAAUGCAGAAGGAAGUAUAAUUACGUCGUGGUCACUGCAGUGUUCUCUCGGUAGUCAGUGCAAAGUAUGCCACAAACACAUUCUGUGAAUAACGUUCUUGCGGCCAAAAUUCCAUGGAAUGAAAACAUAAUGUUACAUGAAGUAGAAUGACAAAUGCCACUCCAAUCAAUUCCACUCUAGUGCCUGGGGGCUCUAACCCCACAGGGACUUUUGGUUCUGUGUCGCUAUUCUGGAUCCUUCAAACAUGCAACAAGUCACAGAUCCUCUGAAGAUAAGAGACUGCAGGGCAAACUCGUUGAGCCAUGGUAUCAGCAAAUUAUUCCAGAGACAUCUGAAAACUGUAUUAGAAUUUUCAAAACACCCAUAGGGAUCAAAACACCACAUACAAAUUGAACAGGAAGAGAAGCUGACUUUUUAGCAUGGUCCCAGGGAGAACGAAAGAGCCCAAGGUUGCUCCUGAAUCUCAGGCCAAGGGCUAGAAUUCUCAAGCCGUGACUACCAAGAGCUUCUGGAGUCUUCCUUCGCAUCAUGCCCCAAAGUGAACAGCCUCCUGACUGGACUACAACCAGGUCAGAAGUGGAGUUCCUUUGCUGGUGGAGACUGAACUCCCACCUAGCUCCUGCUCCUGCUGCUGGGCUUGCACCCCAUGGCCUGCCGCAGCCUAGCAGGCAGAGGCAGCUUCUGAACCUGUCCUUUCCAGCCAGUUCUGCUUCACUCAGGUUAACUAGGUCAUUUCAGGCAGUGCCCCAAGAUAUGAAGUCAGCUCAAGAGGCUGACUUCUCCCAGCUGAGCGCUAACUGAAGCUAGAAAAAUAAUUCGGAUAGCUCUGUACUAAGAUUGAUGCUUCUACCUUGGUGACUACCAUGCUUUUCAAGCCUUUUUAGGACAGUUAAUAUCACACAUGCUAUUUACUGAUCAAAUCAAGACUGUUAUUAUAGAGUCACUGAAAAUCUUAAUUUUGGAAAAUACUUCACGUUUUAGGAAAAUAGUCAUGAUUUAAUGUUUGAGAGAAAAGCAGGAUACAGAGCUAUAUAAAGCUGUAUGAGCUCAUUGUGGCAGACAUCAUGUGGGAUUUUGGUGGCUCAGCAUCUAAAACUCCCAACCCCACUUUGGGGAAUUUCCCACCACAUGAUUCUUCAUGUGCAGUGAAGGCCUCCUACCUUUACAGAGGCAAGGGAUUAAGAACCUUUACAUCAUUAUCCCCUGACAGCCAGAGUAGACAUAUAACCUGGACUUGAUCAAGCUGUACACUGACCCAGACUGGGAACUGGGAACCAGUGACCCACGAAAGCAAGGAUGGCGAAAACUCAUCCCAUCAGUGAGACAGCACUAUUUCUGGGGACAGCAGGACCAGCAGCAUCUCCAUUAGAGUCUGGGCUGCCUGUGGCAAAAGUACUGGCUUCAGUGAAAGGUCUUUACUGAGGCAGCAUGGGUGCCUCACCAGAAAAAUUCUAUGGUACUAUCUGGUUUUCAACCUCCCUUGGUCACGUCUACUCCUACUUUUUUCCCAGGACUGUCCCCCAGGCUUUCUGAGCUGUGAAUUUUUGAGCUACCAAAUAUCUUUUCAAUAAAUUCCUUUCUACUUAAAGGAAUGGCCACUCUUUUUGUGGCUUGCAGGCUAAGAACCCUGAUUAGUACACCAAUAUUAUUUAAAAUUCAAAAGAAAAGAUGUACACCAAAUGUUAAUAAUGGUUAUCUUUAGGUGAGUGUGAUCACAGAUAAUUUUAAUUUUCUUUUUUCACAUGCAUUUUCUAAAAAUUUUAGUAAAAUGGUAUUACCUUAGUAGUCAGAAAAUAAGUAAAUUUUUAAAUUUGAGAUUGUUUUGGAUCUCUGGUGUCCUUAAUCAAAUUAACUUGACUACUCAGAUGGAAUCCAUUUUGCUUCUAUCAGAAUAAGGUACCUGGUGACAUCAACGUUGGCCCAGGAAAUCAUAAGUAUUGGGGUAAGAGAAAUGCCAAUAUAUUUUAUUCAGAAAAAUUUCUGAGACUUGUUCUUAUUUUUCAGUCAUGAUCUACACAUUUUUUGCUUGUUUGUUUUAGAAUUCAAGGGUCCUCUGAAAGUUGGCCUGAGAAAAAUGGACUAUGUUUAGGGAAGUUUAAUACAACCCAAAGCUAAAAAUGCUUUUUAGCAUUUAUGUUUAUAAAAGUGUGGAUAAGCACAGUAA
Molecule: long non-coding RNA, 2417 nt
Organism: Canis lupus familiaris (dog)
Lineage: Eukaryota; Metazoa; Chordata; Mammalia; Carnivora; Canidae
Exons: 3
Source: RefSeq, a predicted model, not a curated record